Molecule: ribosomal RNA, 253 nt
Filed under: uncultured bacterium
Lineage: Bacteria
Description: partial 16S ribosomal RNA
Rfam family: Bacterial small subunit ribosomal RNA
Source: RNAcentral
UACGGGGGGGGCAAGCGUUGUUCGGAAUUACUGGGCGUAAAGGGCUCGUAGGCGGCCAACUAAGUCGGACGUGAAAUCCCCAGGCUCAACUUGGGAACUGCGUCUGAUACUGGAUGGCUUGAAUUCGGGAGAGGGAUGCAGAAUUCCAGGUGUAGCGGUGAAAUUCGUAGAUAUCAGGAGGAACACCAGUGGCGAAGGCGGCUUCCUGGACACCAACUGACGCUGAGACGCGAAAGCGUGGGGAGCAAACAGG